CCUACGGGUGGCUGCAGUGAGGAAUAUUGGUCAAUGGCCGGGAGGCUGAACCAGCCAAGUCGCGUGAGGGAAGACGGCCCUACGGGUUGUAAACCUCUUUUGUCAGGGAACAAGGUGCAUGUCGGGACCUUCUGUGAGAGUACCUGAAGAAUAAGCAUCGGCUAACUCCGUGCCAGUAGCCGCGGUAAUACGGAGGAUCCGAGCGUUAUCCGGAUUUAUUGUGUUUAAAGGGGGCGCAGGCGGAGGCACAAGUCAGCGGUAAAAUCGCGGGGCUAAACCCCUCACCGCCAUUGAAACUGGGUCCCUUGAGUGCGCGAAGGGUAGGCGGAAUGCGUGGUGUAGCGGUGAAAUGCAUAGAUAUCACGCAGAACUCCGAUCGCGAAGGCAGCCUACCGGCGCGCAACUGACGCUCAUGCACGAAAGCGUGGGUAUCGAACAGGAUUAGAUACCCCAGUAGUC
Molecule: ribosomal RNA, 459 nt
Filed under: uncultured bacterium
Lineage: Bacteria
Description: partial 16S ribosomal RNA
Rfam family: Bacterial small subunit ribosomal RNA
Source: RNAcentral